RNAcentral lists this ribosomal RNA (522 nucleotides) under unidentified nematode Sourhope farm. RNAcentral's name for it is "SSU rRNA". It matches the Rfam family "Eukaryotic small subunit ribosomal RNA", at positions 81 to 599 of the family's 1831-position model. Lineage: Eukaryota; Metazoa; Nematoda. The record is from RNAcentral.
GUGAAGCCGCGAAUAGCUCAUUACAACAGCCACCGUUUACUAGAAUAUAGUUAUCCUACUUGGAUAACUGUGGCAAUUCUAGAGCUAAUACAUGCAAAAAAGCUCUGCCCGCAAGGAACGAGCGCAUUUAUUAGAAUAAAAACCAAUCGGGUUUCGGCCCGUAAUUUGGUGAAUCUGAAUAACUUUGCCAAUCGCACAGUCCUAGUACUGGCGAUGUAUCUUUCAAGUGUCUGCCUUAUCAACUUUCGAUGGUAGGUUAUACGCCUACCAUGGUAGUAACGGGUAACGGAGAAUAAGGGUUCGACUCCGGAGAGGGAGCCUGAGAAACGGCUACCACAUCCAAGGAAGGCAGCAGGCGCGCAAAUUACCCACUUCCAGAACGGAGAGGUAGUGACGAAAAAUAACGAGACAGUCCUCUUCGAGGUCUGUCAUCGGAAUGGGUACAAUUUAAAUCCUUUAACGAGGAUCUAUUGGAGGGCAAGUCUGGUGCCAGCAGCCGCGGUAAUUCCAGCUCCAAUAGCG